Molecule: ribosomal RNA, 253 nt
Filed under: uncultured bacterium
Lineage: Bacteria
Description: partial 16S ribosomal RNA
Rfam family: Bacterial small subunit ribosomal RNA
Source: RNAcentral
UACGGGGGGGGCAAGCGUUGUUCGGAAUUACUGGGCGUAAAGAGCGCGCAGGCGGUCGGAUCAGUCGAAUGUGAAAGCCCCCGGCUCAACUGGGGAGGGUCAUUCGAUACUGUCCGACUCGAAGGCAGGAGAGGGAAGCGGAAUUCCCGGUGUAGUGGUGAAAUGCGUAGAUAUCUGGAGGAACACCGGUGGCGAAGGCGGCAUCCUGGACCAACACUGACACUGAGGAGCGAAAGCCAGGGGAGCAAACGGG